CACGUAGGGCGCAAGCGUUGUCCGGAAUUAUUGGGCGUAAAGGGCUCGUAGGCGGUCUGUUGCGUCGGGAGUGAAAACUCAGGGCUUAACCCUGAGCCUGCUUCCGAUACGGGCAGACUAGAGGUAUGCAGGGGAGAACGGAAUUCCUGGUGUAGCGGUGAAAUGCGCAGAUAUCAGGAGGAACACCGGUGGCGAAGGCGGUUCUCUGGGCAUUACCUGACGCUGAGGAGCGAAAGUGUGGGGAGCGAACAGG
Molecule: ribosomal RNA, 253 nt
Filed under: uncultured bacterium
Lineage: Bacteria
Description: partial 16S ribosomal RNA
Rfam family: Bacterial small subunit ribosomal RNA
Source: RNAcentral